This 889-nucleotide ribosomal RNA is filed under the name Lactiplantibacillus plantarum. RNAcentral describes it as "bacterial SSU rRNA". It matches the Rfam family "Bacterial small subunit ribosomal RNA", at positions 378 to 1261 of the family's 1533-position model. The record is from RNAcentral. Lineage: Bacteria; Bacillati; Bacillota; Bacilli; Lactobacillales; Lactobacillaceae.
AGAGUCUGAUGGAGCACGCCGCGUGAGUGAAGAAGGGUUUCGGCUCGUAAAACUCUGUUGUUAAAGAAGAACAUAUCUGAGAGUAACUGUUCAGGUAUUGACGGUAUUUAACCAGAAAGCCACGGCUAACUACGUGCCAGCAGCCGCGGUAAUACGUAGGUGGCAAGCGUUGUCCGGAUUUAUUGGGCGUAAAGCGAGCGCAGGCGGUUUUUUAAGUCUGAUGUGAAAGCCUUCGGCUCAACCGAAGAAGUGCAUCGGAAACUGGGAAACUUGAGUGCAGAAGAGGACAGUGGAACUCCAUGUGUAGCGGUGAAAUGCGUAGAUAUAUGGAAGAACACCAGUGGCGAAGGCGGCUGUCUGGUCUGUAACUGACGCUGAGGCUCGAAAGUAUGGGUAGCAAACAGGAUUAGAUACCCUGGUAGUCCAUACCGUAAACGAUGAAUGCUAAGUGUUGGAGGGUUUCCGCCCUUCAGUGCUGCAGCUAACGCAUUAAGCAUUCCGCCUGGGGAGUACGGCCGCAAGGCUGAAACUCAAAGGAAUUGACGGGGGCCCGCACAAGCGGUGGAGCAUGUGGUUUAAUUCGAAGCUACGCGAAGAACCUUACCAGGUCUUGACAUACUAUGCAAAUCUAAGAGAUUAGACGUUCCCUUCGGGGACAUGGAUACAGGUGGUGCAUGGUUGUCGUCAGCUCGUGUCGUGAGAUGUUGGGUUAAGUCCCGCAACGAGCGCAACCCUUAUUAUCAGUUGCCAGCAUUAAGUUGGGCACUCUGGUGAGACUGCCGGUGACAAACCGGAGGAAGGUGGGGAUGACGUCAAAUCAUCAUGCCCCUUAUGACCUGGGCUACACACGUGCUACAAUGGAUGGUACAACGAGUUGCGAACUCGCGAG